GACGAACGCUGGCGGCGUGCUUAACACAUGCAAGUCGAACGGAAAGGCCCUGCUUUUGUGGGGUGCUCGAGUGGCGAACGGGUGAGUAACACGGGAGUAACCUGCCCUUGACUUUGGGAUAACUUCAGGAAACGGGGGCUAAUACCGGAUAGGAGCUCCUGCUGCAUGGUGGGGGUUGGAAAGUUUCGGCGGUUGGGGAUGGACUCGCGGCUUAUCAGCUUGUUGGUGGGGUAGUGGCUUACCAAGGCUUUGGCGGGUAGCCGGCCUGGGAGGGUGACCGGCCACUUUGGGCCUGAGUUACGGCCCAGCCUCCUCCGGGAGGCAGCAGUGGGGAAUAUUGCCCAAUGGGCGGAAGCCGGAUGCAGCAACGCCGCUUGCGGGAUGACGGCCUUCGGGUUGUAAACCGCUUUCGCCUGUGCCGAAGCGUGUGUGACGGUAAUGGGUAAAGAAGCACCGGCUAACUACGUG
This 468-nucleotide ribosomal RNA is filed under the name uncultured bacterium. Its description in RNAcentral is "partial 16S ribosomal RNA". It matches the Rfam family "Bacterial small subunit ribosomal RNA", at positions 28 to 507 of the family's 1533-position model. The record is from RNAcentral.